GACGAACGCUGGCGGCGUGCUUAACACAUGCAAGUCGAACGAAGAGCAAUGGAAGCUUGCUUCUAUCAAUCUUAGUGGCGAACGGGUGAGUAACGCGUAAUCAACCUGCCCUUCAGAGGGGGACAACAGUUGGAAACGACUGCUAAUACCGCAUACGAUCUAAUCUCGGCAUCGAGGAUAGAUGAAAGGUGGCCUCUACAUGUAAGCUAUCACUGAAGGAGGGGAUUGCGUCUGAUUAGCUAGUUGGAGGGGUAACGGCCCACCAAGGCGAUGGUCAGUAGCCGGUCUGAGAGGAUGAACGGCCACAUUGGGACUGAGACACGGCCCAGACUCCUACGGGAGGCAGCAGUGGGGAAUCUUCCGCAAUAGACGAAAGUCUGACGGAGCAACGCCGCGUGAGUGAUGACGGCCUUCGGGUUGUAAAGCUCUGUUAAUCGGGACGAAAGGCCUUCUUGCGAAUAGUGAGAAGGAUUGACGGUACCGGAAUAGAAAGCCACGGCUAACUACGUG
Molecule: ribosomal RNA, 510 nt
Filed under: uncultured bacterium
Lineage: Bacteria
Description: partial 16S ribosomal RNA
Rfam family: Bacterial small subunit ribosomal RNA
Source: RNAcentral